GGUGCUUAUUUUAUAGUGGGUUAAAGCAGACAGUAGCCAUGUUGCUUAAAUUCAUGUCUCUUGGGGUGGAGGCCUUCAUGUGGUUCUGGUCUCUAGGCUUUUUUGGGGUUUUAGUACUUUUCUGGUCACUAGGAUUCUUGUCCCUUACAUGUAGUUUUUGCAGUAGAAGAACACAGAUUAAAAUAGCUAUUGGGUUGGGCUUGGUGAUAGUGAUUUAUAAGGCGCUUGUAAAGAUACUGGAGUCUGUUCAAGACAUGUAUAGUUUAUGGUUUUUUCAUCCUACCCUGCAUCCUAGUUCCAGUAGUAUGUUCUGGGGGUUUAUUAGUAAUUGCACCUGGUUUGUUAGAGGAGGAGCAGGGCAUGAGGUUUUCCAGCCUCUCCUUUCCUUCUUCUUUUUUGAAUCUGUUAUGUCACUUUUUGAGAAUGUUCAGUUUCCCCUGAAUGUUAAAGAGACCAUUUUUCUAGUAUUUAUUCUUGUAAACUUCCUUUAUACAGCCUGCAGUUUCUCUAGAGUGAAGGCUGAGAUGUCCCGAGGACCUGAUGAAACCCCUCACCCAGGUGUGGAAAAUUCUGAGUGGUGUGGAGAAUGGGAAAAUAUGGGCCAGACCCUAAAGGAAUUUUCUGACCCUGUAGAGUGGGAUUUUCCACGUGAACAAAUUCAGAACCCAGCUGAGGUGGGGAAAUACCUGAAAGAGAAGUGCCACAAUGACUCUAAGGAGGAAAAGCUAAUUGCAAUAAGCUGGGCCCUGGCCUAUGCUUAUCGCACACUGCUAGAUACUGUAGGCCAGCAGACAGAGGCAGGGGGGCAGGGAGAUAAACCAGCAGCUAUCCCAGUCACUCAGGCUGCAGACAACACCCCAGUUACCCAGGCUGUAGCUAAAACAGACAGUGAACCUAAACCACUGGCAGUCGCUGCAGGAAAGAAGAAAAGCAAAACUGACCGGCCAGGGACUGAUGAUGAUGAUCCAGGAGAAGGACCCUCAAAGCUAAUUACUGACACAAAAGCCGGAGUUAGGGCAACUAAGGCAGGAUCAGAAGCCACUACUGAGUCCUAUUCCCUGAAGGACCUUCGUGGCCUAAGAAAGGAUUACACUCGACGACCUGAUGAGUCUAUAAUUAGUUGGUUAGUCCGUCUUUGGAAUGCUGCAGGGGAGGCUACAAUUCUGGAUGGCACUGAAGUGAGACAUUUGGGAUCCCUGUCACAUGAUCCUGUCAUUGAUCAAGAAAUGAUGAGGGGGGCUAACCCUCGCAGCCUCUGGGCACGGGUUUUGGAAAGUGUAGCAC
Molecule: long non-coding RNA, 1284 nt
Filed under: Lonchura striata (white-rumped munia)
Lineage: Eukaryota; Metazoa; Chordata; Aves; Passeriformes; Estrildidae
Description: domestica (Bengalese finch) lncRNA (ENSLSDG00000001095.1)
Source: RNAcentral